GGCGUGCUUAACACAUGCAAGUCGAACGGGGAUGCUUAUGGAAGGAGUGCUUGCACUUUGGAAAUGAGUAUCUUAUUGGCGGACGGGUGAGUAACGCGUGGGUAACCUGCCCCAUACCGGGGGAUACCACCUGGAAACCGGUGCUAAUACCGCAUACGCGCACGGGAGCGCAUGCUCCUGUGUGAAAAACUCCGGUGGUAUGGGAUGGACCCGCGUCUGAUUAGCCAGUUGGCAGGGUAACGGCCUACCAAAGCGACGAUCAGUAGCCGGCCUGAGAGGGUGGACGGCCACAUUGGGACUGAAACACGGCCCAAACUCCUACGGGAGGCAGCAGUGGGGAAUAUUGCACAAUGGGGGACACCCUGAUGCAGCGACACCGCGUGAGUGAAAAAGUAUUUCGGUAUGUAAAGCUCUAUCACCAAGAACGAGACAAGACGGUACCUGACUAAGAAGCCCCGGCUAACUACAUGCCAGCAGCCGCGGUAAUACGUAGGGGGCAAGCGUUAUCCGUCAUCAUUUGGUGUAAAGGGAGGGUGGACGGGCGAUCAAGCUUGAAGUGAAAGGCGUGGGCCCAACCCCCGGACUGCUUUGGGAACUGUACGGUUGGAGUGCAGGAGAGGUAAGUGGAAUUCCUAGUGUAGCGGUGAAAUGCGUAGAUAUUAGGAGGAACACCAGUGGCGAAGGCGGCUUACUGGACUGUAACUGACGUUGAGGCUCGAAAGCGUGGGGAGCAAACAGGAUUAGAUACCCUCGUAGUCCACGCCGUAAA
RNAcentral lists this ribosomal RNA (769 nucleotides) under uncultured bacterium. RNAcentral's name for it is "bacterial SSU rRNA". It matches the Rfam family "Bacterial small subunit ribosomal RNA", at positions 41 to 806 of the family's 1533-position model. The record is from RNAcentral.